Molecule: ribosomal RNA, 1443 nt
Filed under: uncultured organism
Description: SSU rRNA
Rfam family: Bacterial small subunit ribosomal RNA
Source: RNAcentral
ACAGGCUUAACACAUGCAAGUCGAGGGGCAGCACAGGUAGCAAUACCGGGAGGCGACCGGCGCACGGGUGAGUAACGCGUAUGCAACUUACCUAUCAAAGGGGGAUAACCCGCGCGAAAGUCGGACUAAUACCGCAUGAGGCAGGGGCCCCGCAUGGGGAUAUUUGCUAAAGAUUCAUCGCUGAUAGAUAGGCGUGCGUUCCAUUAUGCAGUUGGCGGGGUAACGGCCCACCAAACCGACGAUGGAUAGGGGUUCUGAGAGGAACGUCCCCCACAUUGGUACUGACACACGGACCAUACUCCUACGGGAGGCAUCAGUGAGGAAUAUUGGUCAAUGGCCGAGAGGCUGAGCCAGCCAAGUCGCGUGAGGGAUGAAGGUUCUAUGGAUCGUAAACCUCUUUUAUAAGGGAAUAAAGUGCGGGACGUGUCCCGUUUUGUAUGUACCUUAUGAAUAAGGAUCGGCUAACUCCGUGCCAGCAGCCGCGGUAAUACGGAGGAUCCGAGCGUUAUCCGGAUUUAUUGAGUUUAAAGGGAGCGUAAGCGGCCUUUUAAGUCAGCGGUGAAAGUCUGUGGCUCAACCAUAUAAUUGCCGUUGAAACUGGGGGGCUUGAAUAUGUUUGAGGCAUGCGGAAUGCGUGGUGUAGCGCUGAAAUGCAUAGAUAUCACGCAGAACCCCGAUUGCGAAGGUAGCCUGCCAAGCCAUGACUGACGCUGAUGCACGAAAGCGUGGGGAUCAAACAGGAUUAGAUACCCUGGUAGUCCACGCAGUAAACGAUGAUCACUAGCUGUUUGCGAUACACUGUAAGCGGCACAGCGAAAGCGUUAAGUGAUCCACCUGGGGAGUACGCCGGCAACGGUGAAACUCAAAGGAAUUGACGGGGGCCCGCACAAGCGGAGGAACAUGUGGUUUAAUUCGAUGAUACGCGAGGAACCUUACCCGGGUUUGAACGCAUUCGGACUGAGGUGGAAACACCUUUUCUAGCAAUAGCCGUUUGCGAGGUGCUGCAUGGUUGUCGUCAGCUCGUGCCGUGAGGUGUCGGCUUAAGUGCCAUAACGAGCGCAACCCUUGCCACUAGUUACUAACAGGUAAAGCUGAGGACUCUGGUGGGACUGCCAGCGUAAGCUGCGAGGAAGGCGGGGAUGACGUCAAAUCAGCACGGCCCUUACAUCCGGGGCGACACACGUGUUACAAUGGCGUGGACAAAGGGAGGCCACCUGGUGACAGGGAGCGAAUCCCCAAACCACGUCUCAGUUCGGAUCGGAGUCUGCAACCCGACUCCGUGAAGCUGGAUUCGCUAGUAAUCGCGCAUCAGCCAUGGCGCGGUGAAUACGUUCCCGGGCCUUGUACACACCGCCCGUCAAGCCAUGGGAGCCGGGGGUACCUGAAGUCCGUAACCGAAAGGAUCGGCCUAGGGUAAAACUGGUGACUGGGGCUAAGUCAUAA